RNAcentral lists this ribosomal RNA (853 nucleotides) under Staphylococcus aureus. Its description in RNAcentral is "bacterial SSU rRNA". It matches the Rfam family "Bacterial small subunit ribosomal RNA", at positions 1 to 836 of the family's 1533-position model. Lineage: Bacteria; Bacillati; Bacillota; Bacilli; Caryophanales; Staphylococcaceae. The record is from RNAcentral.
UUUAUGGAGAGUUUGAUCCUGGCUCAGGAUGAACGCUGGCGGCGUGCCUAAUACAUGCAAGUCGAGCGAACGGACGAGAAGCUUGCUUCUCUGAUGUUAGCGGCGGACGGGUGAGUAACACGUGGAUAACCUACCUAUAAGACUGGGAUAACUUCGGGAAACCGGAGCUAAUACCGGAUAAUAUUUUGAACCGCAUGGUUCAAAAGUGAAAGACGGUCUUGCUGUCACUUAUAGAUGGAUCCGCGCUGCAUUAGCUAGUUGGUAAGGUAACGGCUUACCAAGGCAACGAUGCAUAGCCGACCUGAGAGGGUGAUCGGCCACACUGGAACUGAGACACGGUCCAGACUCCUACGGGAGGCAGCAGUAGGGAAUCUUCCGCAAUGGGCGAAAGCCUGACGGAGCAACGCCGCGUGAGUGAUGAAGGUCUUCGGAUCGUAAAACUCUGUUAUUAGGGAAGAACAUAUGUGUAAGUAACUGUGCACAUCUUGACGGUACCUAAUCAGAAAGCCACGGCUAACUACGUGCCAGCAGCCGCGGUAAUACGUAGGUGGCAAGCGUUAUCCGGAAUUAUUGGGCGUAAAGCGCGCGUAGGCGGUUUUUUAAGUCUGAUGUGAAAGCCCACGGCUCAACCGUGGAGGGUCAUUGGAAACUGGAAAACUUGAGUGCAGAAGAGGAAAGUGGAAUUCCAUGUGUAGCGGUGAAAUGCGCAGAGAUAUGGAGGAACACCAGUGGCGAAGGCGACUUUCUGGUCUGUAACUGACGCUGAUGUGCGAAAGCGUGGGGAUCAAACAGGAUUAGAUACCCUGGUAGUCCACGCCGUAAACGAUGAGUGCUAAGUGUUAGGGGGUUUCCG